UAAUACGGAGGGUGCGAGCGUUAAUCGGAAUUACUGGGCGUAAAGCGCGCGUAGGUGGCUUGAUAAGCCGGUUGUGAAAGCCCCGGGCUCAACCUGGGAACGGCAUCCGGAACUGUCAAGCUAGAGUGCAGGAGAGGAAGGUAGAAUUCCCGGUGUAGCGGUGAAAUGCGUAGAGAUCGGGAGGAAUACCAGUGGCGAAGGCGGCCUUCUGGACUGACACUGACACUGAGGUGCGAAAGCGUGGGUAGCAAACAGGA
RNAcentral lists this ribosomal RNA (257 nucleotides) under uncultured bacterium. RNAcentral's name for it is "partial 16S ribosomal RNA". It matches the Rfam family "Bacterial small subunit ribosomal RNA", at positions 521 to 777 of the family's 1533-position model. The record is from RNAcentral.